Non-coding RNA from Meleagris gallopavo (turkey), 4731 nucleotides. NCBI's taxonomy places the organism in Eukaryota, Metazoa, Chordata, Aves, Galliformes, Phasianidae. The record is from RefSeq and is a predicted model, not a curated record.
AUACAAAUAGGGUCAUCUGUAAUGAUGUCUUUCAGUUUGUUCAGUUAUAGACAAAAUUUACAAAAAAGAACUAUUCACAUGUUAUAACGCAACUAUGGUUGAAGAAAUACAGUUUAUUAAGGAACUAGGCAUGAUCUUCUCUGAAACUGAAUCUGAUAUUGCUUUGGUAGGAAACGUCAUAAUGCAUAGUGCUUAAUUUCCAGUCUUUUUUCCAGGUAUUUGAGUUUUAAUAGUUCAUUAAGUGGAAGAAUGUGGAUAUCUGCUGUAUUGUUAACUUUCAGAGCCAACAUCUUGAGGAGCAUUUCAGCAACCCUCGGAGAGUGAACUGAAGAUCUUUCUUUUAAGUUGCUGUAGGAUUUUUCCCCAUAAAGACACAUCAGUUGCAAGUUAAAAUAUCUGUCCUGCCAGAGAAGAUAGAACAACUCUUGAAAACAUGGGAAGACAUUUAACAACUGUCACCACUCCCUCUGAUUUGCACUUUCUCUGGAAAUAGAUGGCUCCAAAAUGAGCUCAAACUCUGUGAGAUAAGAGACUGACUCAUCAUUCCAUUCAGCACAGUUUUGGUUGAUACCAGCAAAGUAAUUCGAACAAGGAUGAGGAAGACAUGAGAUGCCUUAUUAUCAUUCAUUAUAAUAAAUUAUUGUUUAUAUAAAUGCCUAAGAUGCUGAGAAUAUUAAUUGAAGAGUUAUGCUUUUUUAUUGUAUUUAAUUAUUUAUUUUAGGUAGCGAUUAAAAUUUAGCACAAAAGUGGCAAUGUUUAACACUCAGGGGUAAUUAUAAUUGUUAUGCUGGCUCCAUUGCCAUAGAAGUACCAUGAGAAAUCAUGAGUAACACAGUUUUAAACAUUCUUGAUACAUAUGAAUUAAACUGAAGCAAGAUUAUUUAACAGACUAUCCCAUAAAACUGCCUUAAAGAAAAAAAAAUCUCUAUAUAAUAUCAUUAUCACAGAGAAUAAACUUUACACUUUACAAAAUGUCAAUUUUGACAGUUAAUGAAAAGAUAAGAAUUAAUGUACUAAAUCUUCUACAAUUAAGAUGAAUUAAUUUAAAAAUCAGUGAUGAAAACUAAUGUAAUAAACUUGAAAUGUAGUGGAAAAUAGCUUUUUCCAAUCAGAGAUUUUAUAAAUUAGCAUUUUCUGAGCAAUUAGCAAAUGACUAUGAAGUUUAAAGAUGUGAAUGUAAAAAGCUACAAAUAUUUUUUGAUUUCUGAAAUGAAGAUUUAUGCAUUAUGCCAUUCUGGAAGCCAAUGAAAGUAAAAUAAUUCAAAAAUAUUUAAGAUUUUUGUGAGUAAGAAAUGUUUUAAUGUGUUUGUAGAAGUGAUGUGAAAAAGAAUGAAGUAUAUAAUAAGGGAGUGGUAAUAAACAGUUAUCAGGAUAUAGGCACAUUUUAACUUUGCAAAUCUAAAAAUGUGGAAGUCUCUAAGAAUAGCUUAGAAUAACAUAGAUUUCUGCUCAGUGCCAAAUUCAGUGCUCCCUCUACUCUCAUCUACUUCCUCAGCUGAAGUGCCCUGUGCUCACCUGAGAAAGCUGCUUAUAUGAAUGCAUAGACAUUUUGUUGUUGUUUCACAGUUUUCAAUUCAGAUAUGUCAGUUUUCAAGUCUAGAUCUCUGCACAGCUGCAAAAAUGCCCAUGUUAAUGCAGACCUGAUAAACUGAUGAAGGUGCAGAAAUAGGCAGUUGAGGGGAGAAGGUAAUCAGGGGAUGAAAUGGACACAUUAACAGCAAAUAACAGAUGAAAUUACUUAAAGAUCUAUCAACACUGCAAGAAAUUAGGGAAGUCAUUUAAGGUUAUAACACAGAUACGUACAGACUCAUAAUCUCAGUAUUUUCCUGCCUGAAGUAAAAAUUUAAUAUAGGAAACUAGGAUAAAAGUCAAUAAAUAAAUAAUCUAAAAGUAUCACUGUUUGUAUGAGCCUAAGAAUUCUACUUCAAUGAAGAUCUCCAGAGAUAUUAGAGGCAUGCUUUUAGGCAUACCUACCAGCAGAAAUCAGAAUAAAAGACAGUUCUUUCGUUUUUAUUUAAAACUAUACCAGAGGAUCUACUUUUUUCCCUCUUAUUUUCAUCUUAGUGCUUGAGCACAUUUUGCUGCUUCAUUCUAGAAUGAAGAAAGAAAGACAUGAUGACAUUUUACUCAGUUUACUGCAAUUUUGCUUGGGGAACUAGCUGUUAUCAUAGCCUGACAUUCCACUUCUCAACUGAAAUUCUUUCCUUCAAAAAAGAUGCUAGAUGCAAUUUAUUUAUUUAUAUUUAAUCAUGAUAGCAUGCUGAGCUUCUAGUAAGAUAUAAUCAUCUAUUGUAUAAUCAAGACACUUGAUUACACAUCCUCUUGUUUUCUUCUUCUCUGUAGGGGAAAGCUACCUGUAUACCAGACAAAAAAAUUAUGGGAGUUCAAUUUGCAUUUCCAGUAAAACAACAGUAUCAAGGCCUAGUGUAGUAGGAACUGAGAGGCCAACAACAACAAAAAAAAAAGUCUGAAACUUUCUUUCUUCCUUCUAUUGCUAAGAUCAUACUUUAGUUCAUAAACUUAUAUCCAAGAUAGCACAUCACUAUUAAGUAUGUGAAAAGCAAUGUGAUGUGCAGGGCUAAAGUACUUUUAUAUUAGACAUGGGAAAAGUUUACUUUGUCCUGAAAGAAUAAAAGUUAAGAAAUUUCCUUAAAACUCUAGUGCACUAAAAAAGGUAUGCAGCACAGGAUAUUAUGUUCCCAUUCUAUGAGCAUUUUCACAGGAUUCCACCACAUUCAAGCUCAUUCAUGCAUAUAGCAGAAAAAAUUAAGGUACACCUCUAUUAUUUCGUGACUUCCAAGGGCUUGAUUUUGCAAAUCUAAAUUUAAUUCUUUUAAUGUAAUUUUUGUAUAUCAUAUAUUAUAAAGGAAGUGUCUGGAUAAGAAAGAACUAUUUAAUAACUAUAGUACUGUAACUUGUUUGUUCCUGGGUGUUCUUGUGUAAAAGUGGAGUAGUUAAAUUUAAAAUUAUUUUUAAUUACAGAAGCAGGAACAUCUUACCCUAACACUGAGUUAUGUCCACUAUUAAUGAACAAUUUAAUUGAUCAAAUUAUCAUGCAAGCACUAAAACGUCUUGAAUUUCAAUGAAAUAAUGUUUCCUUUUAAAGUUGGCUUCUAUUUUUAGUACUUAAAAGACAUAUAUUUUUAGCUUUUCCUAACUGAUAGAGGAUUUAUGUAGACACAAAGACACUGCAAAUAAAAAUGGAUUUUCUCAUGUACACUUCUCAGGAACUAAGCAAGAUCCAAAAUUUAAUGAGAGCUGAAACAAAAUAGCAGUAACAUCUGCUGUUUGUUUGUUUGUUUGUUUGUUUGUUUGUUUUUCUAGUAGUAAACCUGCAAGCUUUGUAGACUCAUUUGGGACAAUUACAUGGUUCUUCUGACAGAAGAUACAAAAGUCACCUGACUUUUGGGUAGAUGUUGAUAUAGCAAAAGUGAACCAAUAAGAAAAAAUAAGAUCUUUGCCAAAAUCUCAUGUUCAGCAUGUUGUCCUCAUUUUGUCACUCUGUUAAGUGAAUGCUAGACAGUCACUCGCAGUCCAGAACAAAAAGUCCACAACUAGUAGUAAGAUGGUGUGUUACCAUGGAUACAAACAGCCGGAUGCUUUGUGUGCUCAUCUAGUGAGAUAGCACCACAACCUGGCUAUCUACUAGCUUCAACAAGAGUGAAACAACUACUCCCUAGAAACACAAGAUUACAAGGUGAGUAUAUCUAAUCAGAAAUAUAUCUUUCUGAUGCCUACAGAUCAUUACUUUUGUAACAAAACUGUGCUUCCAGUCCAUGAAGUCUGGGUGACAUCACUUAAGUCGGUGAUCAUCUAGAAACAGAACUCAGAGAACAAAAAAUAACCUGAAAGAAUUAUUCAGCAACCCAUUUUCAGAGACUUGCACUAAUGUGAUCAGUUAUCAGCUGAGUUACUUCUAUUUUAAAUUUGGAGAAAGAGUGCAUGACUGAUACAAAGUCUAGGUGCCUUGGGGGAGAAAGUAACACUAAGAACUGACCAUACUUAUUGCGCUAGAAGAUUAGGGGAAAGUAUUGUAUAUAAAGAAUUUGCAUAAAAUAAAGAUUCUAUAAAGAACAUGUGAUCUAAUUUAAAUAAUUUAAUCAGUGAAACCCUAUUUUGAAGGCACUAUGAAUGAAAACGACAAAAUGGGAAAACAUAGUUCAUGGCAAAGAACAGACAAGCAGGCAAAACUGUCACUAAAAUACUGUGGUAUACUUCAGAACUGCGGGCUCAGGACCGUAUCCUCUUUAAUUUCUGAAACGAAAAAAUUACAUAAAGCUCUCUGAAUUUUAGUAAAGGAGAAGGUUAGAUUCUGAUCUUAAUUCUAAUAAUUUGUCAUAAGUUGUGCUCUUUGUUUAUUUAUAGCCUUUUAAUUUGCUAGUCUUCUGUUCUUUUUACUCUGCCUGUUUCUUUGUCUUCCACAGAAGAAUUCUCUGUUACUUGUGAGAGGAAAUAAUGUAGGAUUCAAUUCAUGGAUAUUAACGUCAAGUUUUCAACAAGAGAAUCUCUGAAAUUAAAAAUCAAUUAUGAUGGUCUAGAACCUCAAGUAUCAGACAGUCAAUCAGAUUUCACAUUUAAGUAAAGGUCAAGAUCUCUGGUAUUUCUUUAAAAUUGGCAGCGAUAUAAGUUCUGUGGGGCAUGUGGGGCAAUUUCUUCAGAGACAGAUAAAUAUAAGGUACAGUCCAUAAGAUAUUUUUGAGUCAAAUCACUCCAGUAAAAAUAAUAAUAAUA